This 275-nucleotide ribosomal RNA is filed under the name uncultured bacterium. RNAcentral's name for it is "partial 16S ribosomal RNA". It matches the Rfam family "Bacterial small subunit ribosomal RNA", at positions 399 to 691 of the family's 1533-position model. The record is from RNAcentral.
GCGUGGGUGAAGAAGGCCUUAGGGUUGUAAAGCCCUUUCAGCGGGGAAGAUAAUGACGGUACCCGCAGAAGAAGCCCCGGCUAACUCCGUGCCAGCAGCCGCGGUAAGACGGAGGGGGCUAGCGUUGUUCGGAAUUACUGGGCGUAAAGCGCGCGUAGGCGGCCAUGCAAGUCAGGUGUGAAAUCCCGGGGCUCAACUCCGGAAUUGCACUUGAAACUGCAUGGCUAGAGGACGGGAGAGGAGAGUGGAAUUCCCAGUGUAGAGGUGAAAUUCGU